This 382-nucleotide unclassified non-coding RNA is filed under the name Hevea brasiliensis (rubber tree). The record is from RNAcentral. Lineage: Eukaryota; Viridiplantae; Streptophyta; Magnoliopsida; Malpighiales; Euphorbiaceae.
CUUCAAGCAAGGAAGGCCAGCAUCAGGUGUUAUCUUCAACCUCUCCAGAACAACCUCAGUUACAAUUGUCAUGGCUCAACACAAUGGUUCUAUGAUCCUUCCUGCUGUACACCUGAAUUCACCGUCUAUGAGGAGUCUCAGAUUAGUUUCAAUCCCUACGACCAAAAUUCCUACCUAAAUGGGUCUCAGGGAUCGAAGUGGUAUGCUAUACCUGCUCAUGUUCCUUUCCAACAAGAAUCUUGUAUGUUCACUUUAACAGAUCCUGAGCGAUCCAGAGAGAACAAGCCUGUCAUUAGGAAGCCUUCACCUUUUCCUGCUUCCAAGCAAACCUGUAAAUCUCUGGAUCUUCAUUUAGGCCUUGGCUUGCAAUCAAAUAUUAGAA